UGCGGGUGUGGCGGAAUUGGCAGACGCACUAGAUUUAGGAUCUAGCGCCGCAAGGCGUGGGGGUUCAAGUCCCUUCACCCGCAUAUU
This 87-nucleotide transfer RNA is filed under the name Enterococcus faecalis PC1.1. RNAcentral describes it as "tRNA-Leu". It matches the Rfam family "tRNA". From Rfam's summary of the family: Transfer RNA (tRNA) molecules are approximately 80 nucleotides in length. Their secondary structure includes four short double-helical elements and three loops (D, anti-codon, and T loops). Lineage: Bacteria; Bacillati; Bacillota; Bacilli; Lactobacillales; Enterococcaceae. The record is from RNAcentral.